CAGGUACUGCUGGAACUGGACAAUGGCCUCAAGAUCAUUCUGCCGUCUAGCAGCUCGAGCCUGGAGAGACUCCAUAUUCUCAUUCAAACUCUUAACCUUUGAGGCCACAUCUUCUGCAGCAAAGUGUCCUAUGGAGUGGUUGGAAAAUAAUUCUUUAGGUCAUCUGAGUCCUGAUACAUCUGCUGCAGAAGCAAAGACUCCUUCAGCAAUCUGCGUCGAACAGCAGCUCUUUCACGUAGGACAUCCCGCCGAACCAACAGCUGCAAAAACCAUGAACAAACUCACUGUCAGCAAAACCAAAUAUGGACAAAUGAGAUUUACCACCCACCUUUAUCACCGUCAACCCAACAGUUUCUAUGACCCCAGUGCACAGUAAAGGCUUCCUCGAAGUCAUCAUGCUUCUGAAGAAGGGCUUCUACACUGCCCAAGGAGUUUCCCAGGUCCUCGUUUUCCAGGAAAGCCUAUAGAAGACAGAAACAUAUAUCUCAGCUGUGCAUCAAUGGUGAGAAACAUUCCCUUUGGAAUAUCUCUGAGACAAGGACUACAAAAAGAGGUCAUCUGCAUCUCGUCUGAAAACCUGGUAGUGAUAAGACUCUUCAAGCUUCUGACCCCUCUCAGCAACCAGCUCCUUGAACCUCUGGUACCGAUUUAACACCUCGCGACGCCUCUCCUGGAUCUCCUCU
Molecule: non-coding RNA, 683 nt
Organism: Equus caballus (horse)
Lineage: Eukaryota; Metazoa; Chordata; Mammalia; Perissodactyla; Equidae
Source: RefSeq, a predicted model, not a curated record